UACGGGGGGGGCAAGCGUUGUUCGGAUUUAUUGGGUUUAAAGGGUGCGUAGGCGGCUUUGUAAGUCAGUGGUGAAAUAUGGCAGCUCAACUGUCAGGGUGCCAUUGAUACUGCGGAGCUUGAGUACAGAUGAGGUAGGCGGAAUUGACGGUGUAGCGGUGAAAUGCUUAGAUAUCGUCAAGAACACCGAUAGCGAAGGCAGCUUACUAGGCUGUAACUGACGCUGAGGCACGAAAGUGUGGGGAUCAAACAGG
This 253-nucleotide ribosomal RNA is filed under the name uncultured bacterium. RNAcentral's name for it is "partial 16S ribosomal RNA". It matches the Rfam family "Bacterial small subunit ribosomal RNA", at positions 524 to 776 of the family's 1533-position model. The record is from RNAcentral.